CUUGUCGCCACCAACGGUGUGUCACUCACACAGGAAGUGAUAUUGGCUGUCCUGUCGCUGCUUGUUAACAGCUGGUUCACUAAUGAUCCUCCGCCUGUCGGCUCGCAGUGCAGCGUGGAGAGAGAGCCGCAAGCGGCGUCCUCAUCAGUCCUGUCGGCCCGUCUCAGCACACCGCCUGCGGGGAAAAGACCCUCGGCACUGCACGCCGCAAAUUCCUUUGUAAACAAGACACAGGUAGACACUGGAUUUGCAGAAAGACUGAUCCAUCUAUACUGGAUCCGACAGGAAUGGCCCAGCACUCUUAUGUUCCUUGUGACAGAUGCCCGAGGAGCCAUUGAGGAAACGGGAGCUGACUUCAUUGUAAGCUGAUGAAAGAGACAGACCUUGGCCUCCCAGAAGGAGUUAUUCUCCGAGGCUACUUGAAGAGGGAUAGUACCGCACAGGUCACAGUAUCCUGCUGAAAGAGGCCAC
Long non-coding RNA from Cyprinus carpio carpio, 471 nucleotides. The record is from Ensembl. NCBI's taxonomy places the organism in Eukaryota, Metazoa, Chordata, Actinopteri, Cypriniformes, Cyprinidae.